UCUCCCUCUGCCUGCCACUCCCCAUCCUUGUGCUCUCUCUCUCUCUGACAAAUAAAUAAAUAAAAUCUUAAAAAAAAAAAAAAGAAAUGACACUAUGACCCUAUAUAGAUGGAGAUGAUUUUAUCUCAAUAAUUCAUUUUUUAAUAAAUAAAUCAUAUUAAUGGCCCUUGUUUUCUAGCAUUUAUUCUGUGUCAAGUACAUAAUGAUAGCCAGUCUCUAUGAACACUAUGUGCCAGGCAUUUUAAAUGUAUUACUUCGUUUAAGCCUGACCAAAACCCAAGAUGGGUACUAUCAUUAUCUUCACGUUACAGCUAAAACUGAGCAUGGAUAAGUUGAGUCUUUUGCCCAAGGUCGUACAAGUAGUAAGUUGUCAAGUGGGAUCACCUCUUUCUGUCUGACCCUCAAACCCAUGAUCCAUUCCCUUCUAUCCACUCUUAAAUCUGCUCUGAGGAGGAGGAAGGGGUAUACUCAGCCCCGGGCGGAAAUGAUGAGCAGUGAAGGUGAGGGAGGGGCACGGUAAAGAAAUAAAUAUAGGGGAGGUCCCACCUUGUGUCAGGCACGUGUGACCCUCAUAGGCAGGAAUUAUAAUCUCCCUUUUAUAGGGGAAGGAGGAAAGCCUCGGACAGAGACUUACCCCAGUGCACCAGGGACCUAGGAGAAGUUCAGAGGAGCAGAUCCAGGCCUUCCUGGGCUCUGCUUUCACAUUUGGGUCUACCCAAACAUGAAGCCCUCUGCCUUAUUCAGGUCUCAGGCACUUAGGGACAAUACCCUGCCUAAAUCUUCUCAUCCCUUGCAUCCUUGUCUUGACAGGAGCACCCUGCAGCAGUGUCACUGGGUUAUCAAUUCCACUCAGCAGAGGGACGGAAAAUAUUACAAUUCUGAAUCUGUCUUUAUUCUAGAGUAAAUCCUUUAUUGUCUCAAGGAAAGUUGCUGUUAUCCAAACAUGUUCCAGAAUAUACAGCUUCUGUGACGCUUUCAUUCAUCAUAAACCACAAAGCUCAAAUUGGAGGCGAAGGCAGGAGCGAAAGGGCAGAGCAGUCUGAGGACCACAUUUCAUGAGAACCAAGAAGGAAGGUCACUCAGAUUGCUGAAGAGGCUAUGACGCUGGGACCUCAAAGGGCUCUCCCCGUGUGUCUCUGUGUCUUCACGUGGCUUUCUUAUCCACAAGAGCCAAGGGGCAGAGCAACCCAAACAUCCGUGUCCAUCAAUGGAUGAACCUCAAAAUAAAACGUG
Molecule: long non-coding RNA, 1233 nt
Organism: Mirounga angustirostris (Northern elephant seal)
Lineage: Eukaryota; Metazoa; Chordata; Mammalia; Carnivora; Phocidae
Exons: 3
Source: RefSeq, a predicted model, not a curated record